CCGUGAAAAAAUUAGAGUGUUCAAAGCAGGCAGAUCCAAUUUUCUGCCACCGAAUACAUUAGCAUGGGAUAAUGGAAUAGGACCCUGUCCUCCUAUUUUCAGUUGGUUUGCCGCGAGGACCAGGGUAAUGAUUAAUAGGGAUAGUUGGGGGCAUUAAUAUUUAAUUGUCAGAGGUGAAAUUCUUGGAUUUAUGAAAGAUUAACUUCUGCGAAAGCAUCUGCCAAGGAUGUUUUCAUUAAUCAAGAACGAAAGUUAGGGGAUCGAAGACGAUCAGAUACCGUCGUAGUCUUAACCAUAAACGAUGCCGACCAGCGAUUAGGAGACGUUGAAUACAAAACACCACCAUGCGCAUUGCGGUCGUCUUUGGUGUCGCUCACAAGGCGGCACCGGGGCGGCUCCGUAUCAGCCACCCGACGGCCCGGUGAAUGACUCCGAA
RNAcentral lists this ribosomal RNA (436 nucleotides) under Acanthamoeba griffini. RNAcentral's name for it is "bacterial SSU rRNA". The stretch from base 1 to 372 matches the Rfam family "Eukaryotic small subunit ribosomal RNA", at positions 755 to 1116 of the family's 1831-position model. Lineage: Eukaryota; Discosea; Longamoebia; Acanthamoebidae. The record is from RNAcentral.